This is a long non-coding RNA of Rana temporaria (common frog), 256 nucleotides long. RefSeq lists it as uncharacterized. The transcript has 3 exons. Lineage: Eukaryota; Metazoa; Chordata; Amphibia; Anura; Ranidae. The record is from RefSeq and is a predicted model, not a curated record.
GGUCACACCAUCCCCCACCAUCAUCAGAGUGAAGUCCUCUGGGAUUAUAAUUUUGAUGAGUAUAAAGAGGAGUAUGGAGUGAUGGAGGACUUUUCAGAUGAAUACAAGAACAUGAUGGAGCCACCAAAUACCAAGAACCCACCAGAGAGAUGUCCCUAUCUUCUCUAUUCCCCGGAUACCACACAGGAAGGUCACACCAUCCCCCACUGUUACAAGAGUGGAGAUCCAAUCGAUAUAGAAUUUGAGGUGAAAUCAG